RNAcentral lists this ribosomal RNA (1347 nucleotides) under Triticum aestivum (bread wheat). Its description in RNAcentral is "partial small subunit ribosomal RNA". Lineage: Eukaryota; Viridiplantae; Streptophyta; Magnoliopsida; Poales; Poaceae. The record is from RNAcentral.
AUGGACGACCCGCACUUCCUCGUCGGCACCCCCAGGAGCGAGUUGCUCGCCAAGAUGGAGCGCGAAGGCCGGGACCCUGCGACGCUCGACGUCGGCAUAAACCUGGUGCUCUAUUUCGUCUACGACUACCUCCCCGACCCGCCCGUCUCCCCCGCCCCCACCACCACCCUCUCGCUCGCCGGCGCGUCCUGGGUCUCCGACGGCGUCGACCGCAUCAGCCGCCUCCCCGAUGUGCUCCUCCGCGACAUCAUCUCCCGCCUCCCCGCCAAGGACGCCGCGCGCACCGCCGCCCUCCCUCUCCUCGCGCUGGCGUCCACUCUGGCGCUCGGCGCCCCUCGCUCUUGUGGACAGCCAUCUUCUUCCGGACGGCGGCGCGGCCGGGCAGUUCACCAUCGGCGCUCCCUCUCCCCGCGCCGUCACCGACGCGGUGUCCCGCGUCCUCGCGGCGCACCCGGGGCCCUUCCGCUGCGUGCACCUCACCCGCACCAUCAUGGAGGAGCACCGGGGCGAGAUGGCGCGCUGGCUCGACAUCCUCGUCGCCAAGGGGGUUCAAGAACUCGUCUUUGUCAACCGCCCUUGACCGCUAGACUUGCGCCUCCCCGCCACGAUCUUCAGCUGCUCCUCCCUCACCCGUCUCUAUCUCGGCGUCUGGAGGAUCCCGGACACCGCCGCCGUACCGUGCGGCGCCAGAUUCCCCAACCUCCUGGAGCUCGGCCUGCACCUAACCUGCGUGUGUUGGGAUACAUUCGGCCAGGAGAGCAAGAGUUGGGGAUUAGCAACACCAUCAUCGUGGCUGGGGCCAAGGAGAGCAUUGUGCCCACUGUCCAGAUUUUGGCCAUAGAGGUGCAAUUAGGUUGCCGCAAUUCUGUCAAGAAAGUGCCUGGUUUUCUCAGAUGCUUUCCUAACCUGAAGACCCUCCAUGUCCAGUCCCCACGCAUACCUAAAGAGUCCACUGGCAAGGUCAAUCUCAAGUUCUGGCAGGAGGGUGGCCCCAUCAAAUGUGUCCUGCAGAGCUUGAAGAAGUUGUUCUUCUACGAGUUCCGGGGGUCAAGAAGCGAAGUUGCUUUCCUCAAGUUCAUUGCGGAGAGAGGUCGGGUGCUGGAGCAGAUGGUGGUCGUCGUGGCCAAGGAAUGUUUCUCUCCGGGAGGUGAUGGUGUGAAUGACAAGCUGAAGCCUCUGACCAACGCAAAAUGGAACAGCAAAGGUUGCAAACUUGAGCUCUUCAAGAGCCCACUCACUGAUGUGGCAGGUCCAAUUUGCAGCCACCGACAUGCUUCUGAUUUGAGGUUUGCUGACCCCUUUGACCUCAAGUACUACUACAAAUCCGAAACGAUCUCUGUAAGUUAA